CAGAAAGAAACCCAUACACUUAGGUCAAUUAAUCUACAACAAAUGAGGCAAGAAUAUACAAUGGAGAAAAAACAGUCUCUUCAAUAAAUGCUAAGAUGAUGCAAGGUUUCCCCUACAGGUUUCAGAGGAGUAUAGCCCUGCAGACACCUUGCUUUCAGACUCCUAGUCUCUAGAACUGUGAGAGAAAUACAUUUCUACAGUUUUGAGCCACCUAGCCGGUGGCACUUUGUUACAGGAGCCUUAGAAAACUAAACCAGCUUCCAAAUAGGUAGAAGGGAAAGGAAAAAUAAAAUUGGAUUAAUCCUAUAGAAGGCAGACAAUUUUUAACAGGAAAGAAAGGUUUUACAUAAUAUAAAAUAACAGCAGAAAUAAAUUCAAACAUACCAGUAGUUCAAAAAUUAUGGACAUAAUGAAAUUCAUGUAUUAGAAUAUCAAAUGCUGAAUGUGUCUACAAAUCUGAUUCAUUUACAGUUUUCAAAUGACAUCUCUAGAACAAAAUGAUAGAAAUGUAUAAAGAAUACAGAAAAUCAAAGAUACACCAAACACCACCUAAAAAGAGAAAAACCUGGUGUAGCAGUAUUAAUAUCAUAGACAAAAAGGGACAAUUUGUGCAUGCAAUGCAUCAAGAAGAAAUAACUAUAAUAUUCCUAAACAUCAUCUACAAAAAUGUCAAGUGAAAGCUGACAACUCUAAGGCCAAAUGGAAAAACCCAUAGAGUGGGAGAUGUUCUCUUCUAAAAGAAGGAAUCUGAGAACAGGUGUGGGAAAAAAUAGGGCUAUAGAAAAUGUGAACAAUUUAACUAGCAAGAGUAAUUCCAAAAUACGUUUGAAACCCUAUUCUCAACAAACAGAAUUCAUAUUUUCUUUUUUUCUUCAACAUAUGAGACCAUUUACAAAAUUAUCCACGUACUAGGUUUAUAAGAAGUCCUCAUAUAUUCCAAAGAAUCAUGGUCAGACAAUAUUCCCUUGACCAAAAUACACCACUAUUCAUCUCUGAUGUCAACUUCAUUCUAAGAGAAAUAAAAAACUACAAUAAAAAGUAUUUUUUGCUUAUUUUGCAAAUACAAAAGAAGGGUAAUAAAAGCAUUGGUUAGGAUGUGAAAAAAUAUGGACUCCUAGCCAAGGUAGAAGUCUAAAUUGUUUUAAUUUGGCAAUAUAUGGCAAAAUUAAAAAUACCUAUUUCCCCCUUGUCCACCAAUUCAUUCCUGGAAUAUUUUUCCUACAGAGACACUUAACAUGUGUGCAAAGCAGAGUGUACAAGGAUUUUCAUCACAGUAUUGAUUGUUACAGGAAAAGACAGAAAAACCUCAAUGUCCAUCAAUGUGGGAAUGAUUAAAUUGUGGUCUUCUUGGAUAACUGCAUAUAACAAGGAUGGGGCAACACCAUGCUUAUGAUAUUGAAGAACUCCAAGAUCUUCAGGAUGAGAAGCAAUGUUAAUAGUCAUGCUCGUUAAUUUUUUAUAGAGGGAAGGGGUAUUUAUUUUCACUCUAGAAACAUACGCUAACAGAAUCCGCUGACAACAGUUACUUCUAUAAGUACUGGGAGACAGGGAAGACUUAUUCUAACUAAAAGGAAAUAUCUGCAUUUUAACCAUGUUCAUAUAACUAUUCAAAUAAUAAGCAGGCAAAAAGGCUCUAGUCAUUUUAUUCAUUCGUUUCAAAUACAGCAUCUAAAGAAAAUGAACUCUCUAGUGAUAAGCCUAAUAAACUGCAGAUAUUCUAAAUUCCUUUGCACAUUCCCUUUAAAUUCCUUUAUUGAUGAACUGUCAAGGGCAAACAUGUCUGUGCAAUUAAACCAGCAAACACAAUCAACAAGGUUUUCAAGAGGUUCAUUACCUGAGUGGCACAUGUAAAAGUGCUCAAAAACUGCAGGGCAAAACCAGUACAAACAAAUGGAAGACUUCUUCAUUUCAUGGCAAGCCAUCUUGAUGAAUCCUGGCUACCCUUCUGAUCUGUCCCCCUUCCCACUUUCAAAGGACAUAUCACGCAAAUUCUAGCCCUACAGACCUUGGCAGGUGUUGUUCCUUUUUCCUGGAAAGAUUCCACGUGCACUCCCACUCCUGCAUCCCUCCUACACCAUUCCCCCAGGCAGUCAUGUAGCUUACUCCUUGGAUUCACUCAGAUCUAUCUCCUUACCUUUCUUUCUUUUUCAAUCACUUAUCACUACCUUAACAUAAUUUUCAUUGCUUCUUUGUUUGCUUCCCACAUUAGAAAAAGUGAGCCCCAAGAGGGCAAAGUCUACUGCUAUACACAAUACCUGGUAGCAUACGAAGGCACGAAAUAAAUGCAUGUGGCCUAAGUUAGAUACAAUUUACAGAUGAAAAACCUACAGCAUAGCUGUCUUUAUGUUUUAGCCCAACCCCAUCUAACAUAGGUUUAUUUUUUCAAACUGCAGCUUUUUCUUGUCUUUUGUGCCUAGCCCAUGUUCAAAGAUAGGGCAAAUGGAGAAAAGUUCUCUCUGGAGAGCAGACUCAAUAGUGGAGAAAGAACUUGUACCUUGAUACUGGAUUUUGUUGAAAUUCACCUGGCUAACAUGCUACGGGUUCAAAAUUAGCAUUUAUUUUCUUGGUCAUCCAAUUGCAAAAGUUAGGGAAAACCUUUCCCUACAAUAUGAGGAAUAAAAACCCAAUGCUACAGAAGUAUUCUUAAGGCAAGGAUAAGUUCAAUGAUGGAGUUCCCGCUCUGGCACAGUGGGUUAAGGAUCCCACUGCAGUGGCUUGGGUCACUGCAGAGGUGUGGGUUCAAUCCUCAGUCUGGCGCAGUGGGGUUAAGGAUCCUGCAUUGCCACAUCUGUGGCGUAGGUCACAGCUGUGGCUCAGAUACAAUCCCUGGUCCUGGAACUUGCAUGUGUAGUGAGUGUGGCCAUUUAAAAAAAAAAGGAUAAGUUCAAUGAAGUUAUCUGAAUCUAAGCAUAUGGGAGGGACCUCGGCCCUCAUGGCCCAGUAGGUGAGUUAUUUUAAGGACCAAGGAUUUGGCUCCCCUUCCCCUGGAGGGACACCCUUGACCUCUAUCAAAUUCAGCUCUCUGUUGGACUUCUUCCACUUACCUUCUCUGGGCUUCGCUUACCAGAGAAAGAGUGCUCACCUAUGUCAGAGAAGCACAGGGACAGAAAGUAGUCUUUCCACUUUGCUGAUUGCAGACAGUUCUGCUUUGAAGGCACCUCCCCCACCCUACCCAUUUUGGUUUUUUAAGGAAGCCGCACACCCUGUGAUGCCUUGAGUCGUAAGCUUACCCAGUGCCAUAGUUGGCCAGGUCUGACCCAGAGAGAAGAUGGUGUUAGUUGUAAGGCACCAAAACAGAGGCUCCAUUGUCCCCAGCUCUUCCCCACACAUCCUUGUAACCCACGAAAUAUAGAAUGACCUGUCCAAUUCCUGCCACAUCCAUAUGGGUCUCUCGGGGCAUGUUAUAUAUUUUAUGAACUGGUACACAGCCUAGUAACAGCCCAACAGUUUCUGGAAUCCAAUUCUGAGAAAGAAAAUAAGUGCCUACUAUUAAAUACUACAUAUACACAUAGAUGUCAGUAUAAAACAUGGAAGCCUACUCCACUCACACAUGGGCUUUUCCAGUCUCUAUCCAGCAAGUUCUUCUUGCAGUCUAACCUAAUUGCUCUUUGAAUCAAUGUAAGAUUUAGAUUUCUCCUGUUUUCUCUGGAGAAGAGUUCAUAAAUACUCUCCAUCUUAUGUAUCUUUAAAUACUUAAGGGCCCCUCUCUGCCUUCUCUUGUCUACAAUAAAUGAACUCUUCCAUAAGGCCAUGGCCAUCAGCCAAUUUAUUGCAUCAUCCCCUCAAUCCUAAAAACCUGCAUAUUCAAAUCAGAGAUAAAAAUAGUUAUAUUGUAGCAAGUUCUGCUCCUCUGAUAUUUAAAUCUGCCCAUUUAUUAUACCUCUUGGCUUGUUACAUUUUAAAUAGAGCCGAGAAUGAGAAAACAACUGCUUUUUAGAGCAUCUGUCGCUGCUGACCCGGGGUUACCUCUGCAGUGUAGGCUUAUAGCACUUACCUAGGUUAUUAAGUGCUCCGGUGACAUUAUUACAAGAGGGGGCAGGCACGGUGUCAGCCUAAUGAGGCGGCAGAUUAUAUCUGAUGGUCUCCAUCCGAACAUCAGCACAGGCCAGGCUGUGCGCUAAUCAAGUCAUCAAAAGCCCUUCACCUGGGACAACAGCAGCCUUUGUCUCCACUUACGAGGAAAAUGAGCCACCUCCUUUCUAGUGCUAAUAAGUUUAGUGGAGACGGGUUAUGUUCCAUGGGAAAAGCUGGGCUCUCCCCUUCCACGGCAAGCAGCCAAAGCAUGGGGAUCGAGGAGGCAAGAAAUCAUUCCUUCCCCAUUUGGAGCCCAAAUACUUUUGCUGGAAAGCUGACACUGUGUCCUUGAGUUCAGAACCACCAGCACUUUCACGGUGCUUGACGUGGAAUAGGAGCUCCAUGUGUGUUUUUACUGAGUUAUUAGACUUUACACUUGGUUUUGAAGCCCCUGGUAGCCAAAUCAAAAAGAGGAAUAAGGAGGUUAGGGGCACUGACCCUCUGUGCAGUUGAAAUUCUGUGUGUAACUUAUAGUCGGUCCUCUGUGUCCUCGAUUCUGCACCCACAGAUUCAACCAACCAUAGAUUCAACCAAAGACAGAUCAGGUAAUACUGUGUUAUUUACUACUUAAAAAAAUUCUUCUGUUAAGUGGAGCCAUGCAGUUCAAAUCCAGAUUGUUCAACAGUCAACUCUAUACUUGUUUACACAGUUUUCCUGUGUGAAUAAGACAAAGAACACUGACUACUUCAGAAGAUACAGAUUUCUAAUGUUGUUUUGGAAAAAGCUGAGCACGUGCUUCUGUGUGUUCUUGAAAAUCCUCCACUGAAAACCCAUGCAAAGCAAAGGCCAGCAAUAAGUCUGUGCCCUUUCUGUUCCUUGCUGGGGGAAAGACCUUGUUACACAUGGAUUUUCCCAUCUACACAUGCUUACAGGGCAAAGAUCAAGGUCGGUCGGUGGCUGCUUCUCUGCAUCCUUAACAGCCAACAGAGAGCAUACUAUGGACUUACACAUUUGCACUACCGACUAGGCCCAGAACAAGACACCCUGAAUUCCCAUUGGAAUCAGAUCAUUCCCAAGCAGUUAAAUCAUGUUUAGAAAUUUACCCGUGGUUUCUUAGCAAGUGGUCUGCUUCCACUUGCUGAUGAUAUGCAACCAACUGUAGACUUAUUUUUCUUCUCUUUGGGCACAUAGUUACCAAUGACAAAAGAGAGCCCAUAUAUAUAUUCAAAUAGGGGUGCAGAGAAUCUAAUCUGUAUUUCAAAAAAUAAUUUCAUUCAAAAAUAUAAUCAUACAUGCUCUCUCAACCCAGGAGGCAAGAAGCCACACUGCAUUGUCCCAGUUUCUAAGAAGGGUCAGCAGAAAUUUAGAGAAAACAAUAAGCCUACCAAAUUUUGGAAUUUAGUAAUAGAUUAAAAGAGCAAAAACCCUGAUAACUUCUAAUGUCAGCCAGGUUAAGGUGAAAGAGAUAAUCUUACAUGUUAAUAGAGAUAGUGUCACUGAUAUACUAUGCCAAACCACCAGCAAAAAGGUUAUAUCAAAAUCUAAAAUAUGCAUUCCUUUCACAGCAAUUCCAUUUCUAGGAAUCUAUUAUAAGGAGGUAAUAGAAUACUUCUUUAUAACAAGCAAAGAUAUAUGUAUAAGAACAUAUUUGUAUCAUGUGUAUUUUCUAUAAAAGAAAAAACUGGAAACAAUCCAAAUGCCUACUGAUAGAAAUAAAGCAUGGCUUAUUUAAAGAACUAUAAUGGUUCUCUCUCAGGGUGCACACUUACCAAGCAUCGGCUAUGCUGAGCUUAGUUCUAGGCAGUUGUUACAUCACAUAUACAAACCAAACCUCUGGUCUGGUUGAGUUAUAUUCCAGACAUGACACUUUCAAAUAAAUUCUUAAUGGGAAACUUCAAAAUGGCUACACAUUUUUGAAAUACAGACAUACACAUAUCUGUAAGACAUUUUUUGGUAUUCAGAUAGUGCCAGAUGUGCUCUUGAAUGAAGCCCUUGUAGUAGCUCUGAAGCUGUCAUGCUGCCCUUACAUGCAGAAGAGAAGCCGCUGGAGCAGGUUUAAAAUAAAAACACCAGCCUGAGAUUUGGAACACACUUAAGUGACUUUUCGUUUCUGGCUUUGAUAUAUAUACUGACUGCACAAUCUCAACAAUUUACUUAAUCUUGAUAACCCAGUCGUCCCUUCUUUGACUCACAGAAUUAGUACAAGAGAUCAGAAAAAAAGAAAAAAAAUAUCUAAAAACUCUGUAUAGAUGCCUGGAAAAAAAAAAAGUAGAUACUCAAAUAUCUGUUUCCUGCCCUUUCUUCCUAGACUGUCUCCAGAUCCAGAACCCUUAACCACUCAAUGUCUUUCUCCACAAAUUGAUUAUCCAACCUAAAGGAAAAUAGAUCCUUUAAAAAACAUUUAAAUUAUAACAAUGUUGCUGAAUCAAAGGAUUUUUAAUUGCCUUCUCUCUCUUGUCUCAGCUGAUACAUCAGAGGAAAAAAAAUCAAUCUUUGUUCCUUCAGCAGCUAUAUCUUUGUACUUCUUAGCACUAUUCCCUCUUCAUAGAGGAAGUUGGUUUAAAAUCAUUUUUUAAUGAAAUAGAUAUCCACUAGCUUAUUGCCACCUGUAUUCUGAUACCUACAUUUGUUUCCACAAAAUAAUCCUUUUCUCCUAAGGCCUACAAGUCAGAAAAGGCAAACCUUUCUGCAGGUUUUGGAAAACCCACACCUGCCAGGGCAUGCUAGCAGUCCUAAAUUGUCUUCCGCAUCCUCACAAUUUUUCUACUGAAUGUUUUUCUUUAAUUUACAUACUUAAUGGCUCAGCCUCUGAGCACAAUAAAAUCUUUCAGUAGAAUAUCUAUUAGGUGGUUGAACUCACAAAAAUAAAAUCCAGUGGCAUAAAAUAAGCUGUCUUGAGGAGCCGUUGCCAUUUGGGAAGUCAUGCUCCUGCAGGGAACUGCUAGGAAGCCCAUGAAGACCCAGUUCCUGCAGGUGCUGGAGUUGGCCUGUAGCUGCUGGGCUCUACCAAAGCCACAGCGAUUCUUUCAUUUAGUCCAGGGCAAGAGGAGCUGAUUAAGAAUUGAAAAUAACAUUUCUUGAAACUCACCAUCAUCAUACCACAUUUCGUCAGAUACUUUCAAGAACUUAGCACCAAGAUAAAGAAAAAAAUCUGAAGCAAUGGUCUGUUUAAUCUUUUAUGCCUAUGAGAACUGUGUGAUCAAUAUAUUUUUUUCUUUUUUGCCUUGGUUAACAAGAAGUUCUGAUCCAGAUAUAAAUUGUAACUCAUUUAUUCAUUCUUCUAGUCAAUAAACCUACCAAGAGCCCCUAUUACAUAUCAAGCACUAUGCAAAGUGCUGGUGACUCUCAGUUCAGGGUCAUGGAGUCAGCUUUUCAGGAAGCCACGGACAGAGAGUGAAUUAACACAGGGUCAUUACUGUGACUGAGAUAAACACAGGACACUCCAAAAGCUCAGGGAAGCGCAAGCAGUGGGGGGGUUGAGCGGGGAGAAUCAAGGAAGGUGCCCCCCCUCCAAGUGAUAUAACAUAUCAGCUCUGGUUCUUAGUUAUCCCCCACUUGGUUUCUGAUGUUUCUAAUUUUAUUCAAAAAUAUUAUAAAUCUUCAUAGAAAAAAAAUACAUAUUGAUUCAUACAUACAUAUGCAUACUUGAACAUACAUACAAAACUCACUAAACAGUAUCUCUUUAACCUAAAGGAACCCUUAAAAUUUACAAAACAGCUUCCAAGGGCUAUUACAAAGGAUCCUAGGAAAACUGGACCUCUCUGGGAAUAAAAUGCUUUGAAGAGCUGAUUCUAGUCAUAAAUAUUUUCUAUGAUUCCAAAACAACUUUGGUUUUAAAAUAUGAAGAUAUCCUCUUAUUAAGCAUAUAUUUAGCCCUGCCUACUUCACUAUGGUUUACUCCAGCACACCACCCCCAAAGAUCUUGAUCCAGGGACUCUGGCCUGGUAGACAGUGACUGACAACAUAGAUUGACUGAAUGGCUUCUAGAUGGAUUCUGGCUUCAUUCCAGAUUUGGCAGCGCAAAGCUAAUGCAUUCCUUUGCCUCUCUUCCAACCACCUCUCCCCUCUGUCACAGCACUGUGAGAGAAUGGGGUUGUUGGCACAAUUUCAAGUCAUAUCAUUGCUUCAAACCUAUCCCUGAGCAAACCCGGUUUUAUUUCAGAGGAACACCCUCUAGUGAUCUGAACUGGAGGGGCAGUAAAACAAUUCUACAUUUAUGUAGCAUUCUCACCCCCAAAGGAAUGUUUUCUAUGCCUACAAAUGCCUCAGCAGCAAUAAAGAAUCUGGUGGGUUAGAGU
This 8312-nucleotide long non-coding RNA is filed under the name Sus scrofa (pig). RNAcentral's name for it is "lncRNA (ENSSSCG00000043456.1)". The record is from RNAcentral. Lineage: Eukaryota; Metazoa; Chordata; Mammalia; Artiodactyla; Suidae.